CCUCCGAGGUAGGGGGAGGAGAAGAUCGCAGACGGCUGAAGAAGGCAAUGACGACGCUUCUGCCCCCACCCCAAGCCUGUCCCGUCGUGACGCCACGGCGAAGCUCGCAGGCGCAGCAGCUCCUGGCGCCUGUUGUAUCCGGUUGGUGCCUUUUCUCUCCCCCUCCUCCCUCUCCCCGUCUCUUCUUCCCUCCCGUCCGCCCACCUUUCUUAGAGCCGCCGUAGCUGUGCGCACGCCUGCUCCGCCUCUUGCGUGUCUGGUCGGCAGCGCCUCCGCUCUCUCCGGCUGCCCCAUGAAGCGAUGGCAGCGGCCAACUUCGGCAAGAUCCAGAUAGGAAUCUACGUGGAGAUCAAGCGCAGCGAUGGCCGAAUUCACCAAGCUAUGGUAACAUCCCUAAAUGAAGAUAAUGAAAGUGUAACUGUUGAAUGGUUUGAAAAUGGAGAUACUAAAGGCAAAGAGAUUGACCUGGAGAGCAUAUUUUCACUUAAUCCAGAUCUUGCACCUGAUGAUGAUACUGAACCUAGUCCAGAGACACCACCACCACCUAUUCCAUUAGCCAAAGUAAAUAGAAUUGUGAAGAGUCGACGAGCUGUGGCACCUAUUAAGAAUGAUACCUCUGCUAGAGAUAACAGAGUGGUUGGUUCUGCACGAGCACGGCCCACUAGGCUUCCAGAACAGUCUUCCUCCUCACAACAGAAUGGUAGUGUUCCAGAUAUAUCUCCAGUUCAAGCUGCAAAAAAGGACUUUGGACCCCCUUCACGUAGAAAAUCUAAUUGUGUAAAAGAAGUUGAAAAAUUGCAAGAGAAACGUGAAAAAAGAAGAUUACAACAGCAGGAACUUAGAGAAAAAAGAGCUCAGGAUGUUGAUGCUACAAACCCAAAUUAUGAAAUUAUGUGUAUGAUAAGAGAUUUCAGGGGAAGUUUGGAUUAUAGACCACUGACAACUGCUGAUCCUAUUGAUGAGCACAGGAUAUGUGUUUGUGUACGAAAACGACCACUCAAUAAAAAAGAAACUUUAACGAAAGACCUUGAUGUAAUAACAAUUCCUAGUAAAGAUGUUGUGAUGGUACAUGAGCCAAAACAAAAGGUGGAUUUAACAAGGUACCUAGAAAACCAAACUUUUCGUUUUGAUUAUGCCUUUGAUGACACGGCUCCUAAUGAAAUGGUUUACAGGUUUACAGCUCGACCAUUAGUGGAGACCAUAUUUGAAAAGGGAAUGGCCACCUGUUUUGCAUAUGGGCAAACAGGAAGUGGAAAAACCCAUACUAUGGGUGGUGACUUUUCAGGAAAGAACCAAGACUGUUCAAAAGGAAUAUAUGCACUUGCAGCUCGAGAUGUCUUUUUAAUGCUAAAGAAGCAAAACUAUAAGAAGUUAGAACUUCAAGUGUAUGCAACAUUUUUUGAGAUUUAUAGUGGUAAGGUUUUUGACUUGUUGAACAGGAAGACAAAAUUAAGAGUGUUAGAAGAUGGUAAACAGCAAGUCCAGGUGGUGGGAUUACAGGAACGGGAAGUCAAAUGUGUUGAAGAUGUUCUUAAGUUUAUUGAAAUAGGCAACAGCUGCAGCUUCAUUGUUUUUAAAAUUAGCCUUUUGCAUGGACUGCUGCCUCAUCAGACAAAAAUGCAAUCAGCAUUUUAUGUGACAUCUGGUCAGACAUCUGCAAAUGCACACUCAUCUCGAAGCCAUGCAGUGUUUCAGAUUAUUCUCCGAAGGAAAGGGAAAUUGCAUGGUAAAUUUUCUCUGAUUGAUUUGGCUGGAAAUGAAAGAGGAGCAGAUACUUCCAGUGCAGACAGACAGACACGGCUGGAAGGUGCUGAAAUUAACAAGAGCCUCUUAGCACUCAAGGAGUGCAUUAGAGCCUUAGGCCGAAAUAAACCUCAUACACCAUUCAGAGCAAGUAAGCUUACUCAGGUGUUAAGAGAUUCGUUCAUAGGAGAAAACUCCCGUACCUGUAUGAUUGCUACAAUUUCUCCAGGGAUGGCAUCAUGUGAAAACACUCUAAAUACAUUGAGAUAUGCAAAUAGAGUAAAGGAAUUUGGAAUUAGUCCUUCGGACAUUCCCUUCUCACAGGGUAGUGGCAGUCGCUCUGAUCUCUCUCCUUCCUAUGAGUAUGAUGAUGUUUCUCCUUCAGUCACCAGGGUGAAGGAGCUGACAGUUGAUCCUAGUGCUACAGGGGAUAUCCGUCCCAUUAUACACCACACUCCCAAUCAGAUUGAUGACUUGGGCACGCAGUGGAGCAUGGGGAGCUCUCCUCAGAGAGAUGAUCUCAAACUGCUAUGUGAACAAAAUGAAGAAGAAGUUUCUCCACAAUUGUUUACUUUUCAUGAAGCUGUGUCACAAAUGGUAGAAAUGGAAGAACAAGUAGUAGAAGACCACAGGGCUGUCUUCCAGGAAUCUAUUAGAUGGCUGGAAGAUGAAAAAGCCCUUCUUGAGAUGACAGAAGAAGUGGACUAUGAUGUGGAUUCUUAUGCUACACAACUUGAAGCAAUUCUAGAGCAGAAAAUUGAUAUUCUGAUCGAACUUAGAGGUGUGUAGUCCAAGUUCCAUCCCUGGCUGCCCAUACAAAUUGUCCUGGACUUUGUACGGUAGUAUAGCUACAAUCUGCUGCGAUUUGACUUACCUGGCUACUUCUUUCCGAAUUAUACUUAAUUCCUCGGCAAGCACAUCCUGCCCUAAGAGCUAUCAAUACUGGGGAUAAAGUGAAAUCUUUCCGAGCAGCUCUACAAGAGGAGGAACAGGCCAGUAAACAGAUCAACCCGAAAAGACCACGUGCCCUUUGAAAUGGGCCUUUGCUGCUAAAGGAAUCCACAAACCCUUACUGCUGUAGCAUACAUUUGUUACAAAACCGGUGGCCGUAAGAACUCAACUACUUGAAAGUGUGAAAACAUUAGAAAUGUCUGUGGAAAUGUCCUGUUUCUUAUUCACCUGAAUUACAUUUUUGUUUUUGUGUGAAAUGCUCCUAUGACAUCUACAAAAUGCUUCUAGACCAGUCAGUACAACCAUGCAGGGUUCAGAUCCAUGAAACACUUUGUUUAAAAUAUUUCAUUUAUUCAAAUCGUGAAUUUUACAUUUGGAAAUAUUUGCCAAGUUUUUAAUAAUGAAGUAGAACUGUGGCCACUAGAAAGUCACAAUAUUUCCUUUUAACUGUGUUCAGUUUUGUUACAAAGACUAGCUGUGCAGUUCUAAAUUGUGUUUGCGUGCAUGCACACCUCACUCAUGGUCGUAUAUAAUUUCUCUUCUACAGACAGCUGUGCUUACCUCUUCCCAUUCUGUGCCUUGAUGAAGGCUACUUAACCCUAAACAUCCUCUUUCUGAAGCACAGCCUUAAUAAACAACAUUACUUAGGCAAUAUUAAUUACUUUUAGUCUGUGUGCAUUUUUAAUGUGCUUUGAGACGUUUUUUUGGUAGCUAGAUCAUUCAUUUCACAGGAUGUGCCACAUCAUUUGAACAGAAACUGCAAGAGCUGUUAGAGUGGACAAACAGCUGGACAUUCUAUCCUCCUUGUAAAAAAUAUGGAAUCUAGAUUUAUUUGAAUACCAUAAAGAAUGGUUAUGCAAUUCAAACAUUUUUCUCAAGGAAAAAAAGAAUCAAAAAACAAAAAUAUAAAUUAGUUGAUGUAUAAAAAGGGUAAUGUUUAAGUACUGAGGAGAGUUGUGACUUAGGAUAAUGCUGAUAUGUAGUAUGUGGUAUGGGAUGAUAAUGCUGUCAGAAAAAAGGUACAAUCUGAGCUCUGUAUAUGGAUAGGAUAACUAUCAAAGUUCAAGGAUCCAGAUAAAGAAAUACAUAUUGGCUUUUCACCUACUGUUAAAAUUUGGCUUUUGAUCCAUGACAAACUUACAUGUACAUUAACUGCAGUUUGCAGGCAGUUUGAGUAGCUUUGUUGCUUUUUUUUUUUAAAAAAAAAAAAAGUAGUUAAUACCUAUAUUUCCCUUUAUAUACAGUGCCAACAGAUGAAAAGAGGGGUGAAAUUGCAUCAUUUGAGGAUUUGCAUAUCUCUACCUAGUGCUAGUUGAAAUCUAUCAAGUAUCAAGUACCUGAAUUCCCACAAUGAUUGCAUAUCAGCACUUUUUAGUUGGUGUCACACAAGUUACUUUUCCAAAUCAGUAUCCAAAAGAUUGACUUUCACAUAAGAACUUGUCAAAUGAAGAGUUAUAGACCCCUCUAGGAGUUUUCCCUGUUUCCAGUCUUCAUAUCGUCAGACUUUCACUUGGAACUGUUUAAAGAUUACUUUUUGAAAACAAACCUUGUUCAUUUGAGCCAGACUGGGAGGGAAAUAAAGGGAAUGCAAUGAAAAACAAGAUAAAUGAGACAGGAAUUCUCAUAGUGUUUAAUGUUUGCAUCUCCUAUAAGAAGUUCUUGUCGCAUUGUGGUUAAAAAUCAAAAAAACAAUCCUCCUGUGUGUAAACAUGAAAAGUGAAACAACAAUGUAGAUUUUACAUAAUGUAUUGAAUAAAUUAAGCUAUUAACUGAAUUACAGAUGAGAAUUUACUUCUAUGAAGAGUCUGUUCUGCUUUGGGAAGGGGUACACUUUGUAAACACAUGCAAGUUGUUGCACUACUAAAAAGGCCUCCGAUUUCAGAAUGAGUAUUUACUCCUGGAAAUGGCCAUUCUGUGCAAAUUUGUAAGGUAGGAAGAUGUUCCUCAGAUCCCUAUCCUGACUUUUGUUUUGCAGCAGAUCUCAAAGAAACAUCAUGGCUGGUCAGGUACCAGAUGGAAGUCAAAAUUAUGUCUAGAGGCUGUUAAGAGACCUUUGUGAUAGAGCCUGCUGUAAAUAUUAGAUUAACACUGAGACUGAAGCAGUGAGAAUUAAGAUAGGUAAACAAUUGAUAUGGCUGGUUACACCACUUGAAUUCCUGUAACCCGUUGCUCUGAUGGGCUGACAUUAUUUGGAUAGUACUCCGAGAAGCAUAUACUGUUUUGUGCGCUGUAAAACAAAAACAUUUAUAAAGAGCAUGAUGCAAAGCUCCUACAUUUGUUCCUUCUGUGUUGGUCUGUGAGUGUUGCUGUGGCUACUUAACCAUCACUCAAAUUGUUUUGAUAGGCAGUGAAGCAGUACUAGAGUUGUUAAAUGCCUCUUUCAGGGUGCCUGCAAAUUCAAGUACACUUGAAUAAAAUUAAGUUGAAUUUUGGAAAAGGUUUUGGUAAUGUUUCUUCUCUAUUUAUUGUGGUUUUAUGGAAAAAGAGAUGCCACCCAUGAAACACAUGACUCAUGUUUGUUAAUACAGAGUUAGGCCUUUACCCCUGCAUGAUGCUAUAAAGUUAAUAAUUACUGUUUUCAUGAAUCAUAAGACAAAUCAAAGUAGAUUUUUCUUUUGAUGGCCGUGAUACAAAGUUAACACAAUUUUAAUUGGGAAAAUUCUGCCUUGUCCUUAAUAAAAAAUAUAUGACUGUGCUGG
Anas platyrhynchos (mallard) is the source of this 5393-nucleotide non-coding RNA. Lineage: Eukaryota; Metazoa; Chordata; Aves; Anseriformes; Anatidae. The record is from RefSeq and is a predicted model, not a curated record.